AAGCUCCGCGAACUGCCCUUUGCUAGAAGUAAUUUUUGGCGAUUUUUUAAUGAUUUUUCGGCGAAGUCUUAGUGGCGCUAUACUCUCGGACAGGUUAUCCCGUCUCUCCCGCUAGAUUGAUGAGAUCAGGCAUC
Loxodonta africana (African savanna elephant) is the source of this 134-nucleotide long non-coding RNA. It matches the Rfam family "Deleted in lymphocytic leukemia 2 conserved region 6". NCBI's taxonomy places the organism in Eukaryota, Metazoa, Chordata, Mammalia, Proboscidea, Elephantidae. The record is from Rfam.